AUACGUAGGUGGCAAGCGUCGUCCGGAAUUAUUGGGCGUAAAGCGCGCGCAGGCGGUCCUUUAAGUCUGAUGUGAAAGCCCACGGCUCAACCGUGGAGGGUCAUUGGAAACUGGGGGACUUGAGUGCAGAAGAGGAAAGUGGAAUUCCAAGUGUAGCGGGGAAAUGCGUAGAGAUUUGGAGGAACACCAGUGGCGAAGGCGACUUUCUGGUCUGUAACUGACGCUGAGGCGCGAAAGCGUGGGGAGCAAACAGGAUUAGAUACCCUGGUAGUCCACGCCGUAAACGAUGAGUGCUAAGUGUUAGGGGGUUUCCGCCCCUCAGUGCUGCAGCUAACGCAUUAAGCACUCCGCCUGGGGAGUACGGUCGCAAGACUGAAACUCAAAGGAAUUGACGGGG
This 397-nucleotide ribosomal RNA is filed under the name uncultured bacterium. RNAcentral's name for it is "partial 16S ribosomal RNA". It matches the Rfam family "Bacterial small subunit ribosomal RNA", at positions 523 to 918 of the family's 1533-position model. The record is from RNAcentral.